GGAAGCGUGCCCGAAAGUUAGGGAUCUCCUUGAUAAGGAGAAUCACAGGGGCUAAAAUCCCCUCACUUCC
Molecule: transfer RNA, 70 nt
Filed under: Pristimantis sternothylax
Lineage: Eukaryota; Metazoa; Chordata; Amphibia; Anura; Strabomantidae
Description: tRNA-Ile
Rfam family: tRNA
About the family: Transfer RNA (tRNA) molecules are approximately 80 nucleotides in length. Their secondary structure includes four short double-helical elements and three loops (D, anti-codon, and T loops).
Source: RNAcentral